RNAcentral lists this small nuclear RNA (23 nucleotides) under Arabidopsis thaliana (thale cress). Its description in RNAcentral is "snRNA_12537". The record is from RNAcentral. Lineage: Eukaryota; Viridiplantae; Streptophyta; Magnoliopsida; Brassicales; Brassicaceae.
GCCUGCCCACCCUGGAAACGGCU